UACGGGGGGGGCAAGCGUUGUUCGGAAUUACUGGGCGGAAAGGGCUCGUAGGCGGCCAACUAAGUCAGACGUGAAAUCCCUCGGCUUAACCGGGGAACUGCGUCUGAUACUGGAUGGCUUGAGUUCGGGAGAGGGAUGCGGAAUUCCAGGUGUAGCGGUGAAAUGCGUAGAUAUCUGGAGGAACACCGGUGGCGAAGGCGGCAUCCUGGACCGAUACUGACGCUGAGGAGCGAAAGCCAGGGGAGCAAACGGG
This 253-nucleotide ribosomal RNA is filed under the name uncultured bacterium. Its description in RNAcentral is "partial 16S ribosomal RNA". It matches the Rfam family "Bacterial small subunit ribosomal RNA", at positions 524 to 776 of the family's 1533-position model. The record is from RNAcentral.